GACGUAGGGCGCGAGCGUUGUCCGGAUUUAUUGGGCGUAAAGAGCUCGUAGGCGGCUUGUUGCGUCGACUGUGAAAACCUGCGGCUCAACCGUGUGGUCUGCAGUCGAUACGGGCAGGCUGGAGUUCGGUAGGGGAGACUGGAAUUCCUGGUGUAGCGGUGAAAUGCGCAGAUAUCAGGAAGAACACCCGUGGCUAAGGCGGUUCUCUAGUACGGUACUGACGCUGAGACGCGAAAGCGUGGGGAGCGAACAGG
This 254-nucleotide ribosomal RNA is filed under the name uncultured bacterium. Its description in RNAcentral is "partial 16S ribosomal RNA". It matches the Rfam family "Bacterial small subunit ribosomal RNA", at positions 524 to 776 of the family's 1533-position model. The record is from RNAcentral.